RNAcentral lists this long non-coding RNA (1495 nucleotides) under Nicotiana tabacum (common tobacco). RNAcentral describes it as "long non-coding RNA (NTAB_LNC008802)". The record is from RNAcentral. Lineage: Eukaryota; Viridiplantae; Streptophyta; Magnoliopsida; Solanales; Solanaceae.
CUCAGACAUCCAAGGAAGGAUAAAAGCAGCAUGCACUCUCAAGCCUGGCGAAGGCGAAAGCACUUAGGCGGCCACUGCGAAUGUUUUGAGAAACAAGCCUUAAAAUGUAUCAUCAUAGGCAAAAAGAUUAUUUUAACAAAGAAAUAAAACAAAGCAACUUAUCAAAUUAAUCCCAAAAAAAAGUGUACCAUCCGAUAAUGAUCAGCAAAGCAUAAAAUAAAACAAUGCUGACAAAGUGAAGAAUGGAGUUCAAUUAUCAGGGACUUGUUCAUCCCUAAAGCAACUUUACAUUUGCUUAAGGGGCAGACAUUCUAGUCCCAAAUCCCCUGAUUUAUAAAACAAAGAUCCUAAUGUUUCCAAUAAGCUAUAAUCUUUAGCAACACAUAACAUUAAAAAUUCCAAAUUUGACAUCAAAAUGGUAGAUUAAAAGGCAAAAGUUACAAAAUGUAAUACUUGUAAGAUGAAAGUGUAUUGUCUCAGACAUCCAAGGAAGGAUAAAAGCAGCAUGAACUCUCAAGCCAGGCGAAGGCGAAAGCACUUAGGCGGCCACUGAGAAUGUUUUGAGAAACAAGCCUUAAAAUUUAUCAUCAUAGACACCAUAAGAUUAAGAUUCAACAAAAUAAAUCAAUGUACAAUGAUACUACAAACUAGUUAGCUAAUUGUAUAAAUUCUCUGCACAUUCUGCUCUAUAAAAACAAUUUAACAAAACUUGUUUGGACCGCAGCAAACGUUAUUGUUCCAGAUCCCCUGAUAUCAUAAAACAAAUAUCAUAAUAUUCAAAAAAGCUAUACUUUAGCCACAUAAAGCAAUAAAUAUUCCAAAUUCGGCUACAAAAUGACAGUUUCAACAGCACAAGCACCAAAAAAUAACAAAAAGGGCCAAAAUCACUAGUUGAAAAGGCAAAAGUUUUAAUUUUUUUAAAUAAUUAAAGGAGGUUGAAAAGGUGGUGUCUCAAACAUCCAAGGAAGGAUAAAAGCAGCAUUAACUCUCAAGCCUGGCGAAGGCGAAAGCUCUUAGUCGGCCACUGCGAAUGUCUUGAGAAACAAGCCUUCAGAUUUAUCAUCAUAGACACCACUUCAAUUGACAUUCAAUCAAUCAAUCAAUCAAAACACAAUGCACUUAAACUAAUAAAGGUCUAUUAUAAGAAUCGUCAGUCUAGUAAUUUAAUUUUAAAAACAGCAGCUAACAUUCAAAAUAAAUACAAAUAAACAAAGGCAAGAUUCAAGUUUGGAUUAUGAAGGGGGGAUCUCAGACAUCCAAGGAAGGAUAAAAGCAGCAUUUACUCUCAAGCCUGGCGAAGGCGAAAGCACUUAGGCGGCCACUGCGAAUGUUUUGAGAAACAAGCCUUCAAAUUCAUCAUCACCGAUCUCCCCAGUAUGAAAAAAAAAUGAAAAUUUUGAUUCCUUAUCAAUAACCCUAAUAGGAAAAAGUUUUGAUUUUGAAAAUAAAAAAGUUAAAGAUAGGCAAAAGAUAUUUCGUCAAAAACUGCUGUGAU